CAUGGCAUAGGUAAAAGGGAACGAGGAGGCAAGCCCCCCAUCUUGUUCUCUUUUUCUCCUUGAGUCGGAUGAAUCGAGGGUUCCAAACCUUCCAAAAGUGAUAGGUAUGUGUUGUUUCUUGGCACUCUCUUAGACUGUCUAUCCCUUUAUACCUGGGUAUAAAAGCCAGAAAGAAAGUAGCUUUUUUGAAAUGGUUUAGUAAAUAGGAAUUCCAGUAAUACAGUAAACAUUGGAAGAACAUAGGAAUAUGGGUCCAUAUAGGAAUGAAGAAAGGGCAUGAUAGGCUAGUUUGAUUCCAAGCCAAGCAGCAGGGCAUGAUCAGUCUUAUCGGGCGGGGAAUUGCAUUCGCUAAUAGAGCUUCCUACGAUCGCACCCUAGGAGAGUGCAAAUGGCAAGUUGAAUGGUCUGGUUCCACUUAGUAGCCCAAAUCCGCCCCUUUAACACGCAAGUACGCUUUAGCUACUAAGCUUCGAAACAACCCAUAGGCUUACUUCGAAGUAGGAGCUUGAACUCAAGUAUUAGAAUGAGUCUUAU
Molecule: long non-coding RNA, 534 nt
Filed under: Nicotiana benthamiana
Lineage: Eukaryota; Viridiplantae; Streptophyta; Magnoliopsida; Solanales; Solanaceae
Description: long non-coding RNA (NBEN_LNC038212)
Source: RNAcentral